GUCGGUGAUUAUAGCGAGGAUGAAACACCCGAUCCCUUCUCGAACUCGGACGUGAAAAGCCUCUGCGCCGAUGGUACUUUGUCUUAAGGCACGGGAGAGUAGGUCGUUGCCGACU
This 115-nucleotide ribosomal RNA is filed under the name Pseudomonadota bacterium. Lineage: Bacteria; Pseudomonadati; Pseudomonadota. The record is from RNAcentral.